RNAcentral lists this non-coding RNA (9026 nucleotides) under Cordylochernes scorpioides. Lineage: Eukaryota; Metazoa; Arthropoda; Arachnida; Pseudoscorpiones; Chernetidae. The record is from RNAcentral.
UUUAACAGUUUUCACAGAGUACAGGCAGUCGUGGCCGAGGCAGAGUGGAAAGCUUGGGAAUGUCCACACACACAAAACGAAGAGACACAGUUGUAGUAGGAAAGUUCCAUGAGCUGAUAAAAGUCGAGCUAAGAGCAAGAGGGAGUUAGAAGAAGUUCUUACUGUUUACAUAGCGAUGAGGUGGUCCUGGCUGCAACCAACAAGGGCUCGCGCCGACGGUGAAGUGACUGACUAAGUUCGGCUAAAACCGAGGUUUUUAUAUACCAUUCCCGAGGAGGGGGGGGGGGGUUGUGAGAUUUUGGACUUUGGACGUCUUCGGCAUUCUGCACCCUUUGACCUUAAUGGCAACGGGCUGCAAAAUUCCUUUUUAAGGUUGUCGGAUUCUUCUCUCGAUUUUAGACGUUUUUGAACUUCUCAAUCUUGCUUUAACUCAGCUCUUAAUCUAUUUCAUAGUUUUAUUUAUUUAUGCUCAGUUUGUACAAAGUACAUUACAUAUGGUGAUGCAAUGAAACAUGUCAAUCAUGCGUAUAAUUAUUUAUAGAUGUGUCUCUAUAUACAACAUGACAAUCUUGUUAGUAUUAUACAAUAUAGGGUUGUUGGUUUAAAUUACCAUAGAUGAGCCCAGGGAGUGAAAGGGGUUUAUCCUGGUUUAAACAGGUAAAAGCCUCUCUAACACAGGUAAGUAAUUAAAAUUUAUUUUAAUUAAUUUAAACUGUGAGGGUUAAAAAGGGCUAUAACAAUAUGUUUUGUUUGGAUAUAUCUGAAAAUUAUAAAAAAUAAAACUUAUGUAUAAUUUUAAAGUUAUGAUAUUCAUUAUAAAAGAGAAAUUUAGAUAAAACCUUUGUUUGAUAAAAAAAUAAUGAUGAUAAAAAUAAAAUCAUGUUCUAAGAGAUUGUUGGUGGGCGUUGGAAAGGGUUAGGGGUUAAAGAAUAGGCAAUUGUAGGUAUUACACAUGCAAUCAAAUACUUAGAUCCAGGUGCAAAGCCAGGAUAUAGACUUGAGCGUCUUCCUAGGCAAUUUUUCACCUGUGAUUCUGUAUAAGGUUACAGUGCUUUGUCACAAUUGUAAAGUUAUUGGGUUGAAAAGUUGUUGAAGAAAAAGUUGUUCAUUAAUAUGAUUGUGAAAGGGGUGAAAUAGAGAACCAUUCUAUAAGUAGAAUUGUUGUAUCAACAGUAGGUGAUCUGACUUGACUAGAAAUCAAAGGUUGAUUGUGGUCCGAUAGAGCUAAAAAAAUUGUGAGUUGUGAACGCUUUGUGCAUGCGUUGAUGAUUUUGCUCUGUGGAUGAUUGAAAUAAACUUUUGAAACGUGUUCAGGCUAGAAGUUGGGAUUUGUAAAUCUGGGGAACUGUGUUCAAAUAGUUUGUUGGAAUUAUGAAAUAAAAAAAAAUUGUCAAGCAGUACUGUCGUUUUUCUAGUUGAUGUGAAGCAUUAACUGAGAAAGAUAGUAGUGUAAAGUACACUGAAGUGGUUAGAGAAACGAUUGUUGUAUGCCCGAUAGUUAAUGCUAUUAUUUGUCCUAUUAUAAAGGUAUAAAAACAAAUAUGAAAUGAAUAAAAAUAUAGCAAUGUGAUUGUGGUUGAAUAAAGUUUAAGUGAACAAAAUCAAACAUACAAUAUACACUGCGUGACAUUGAAAAUGGAACACCAAUAAAUAGUGGCCAGAAAAGUAUGCAAAUUUCAGGGUAGACGCGCCUAACCGAGUUAUGCAAAUGAUGUAAAAUGCGCAGCUCUCGUGCGCACAUGGAGUAAGAUAUAAGGGAAGGAACUUGCAGAAAGGACAGUAUUUGUGUCGUUAUUUCUUCAAGGAAAAUCAUUGUAGAAAUUUUGUUCUUGUGUCAAAAGACACGUGUAAUAACAGAGAAUGCCAGGUCAUCGUAAAUGGAGGCAGUUCAAGCAGACAGACGCUUUUACGAGGGGCAUGGUGAUCGGACUGAAAAGGGCAGGUUGGUCCAUACGUCAAAUCGCAGCUGAUACACACCUUGGUGCGUCCACGGUGCACCGACUGUGGAGAAGAUGGUUGGAACAAGGAAAUGUGGCAAUUUAUAGGAAUGCCGGUGCAACCAGAGUGACGUCAGCACGUGUGGAUCGGCGUAUCCUUCGACAAGCAGUGGCGGCCCCACAAGCCACUUGUACCGCCAUCCUGCAACAUGUGCAAGACACCCUAGAUCAUUCCAUCUCGACCAGAACCAUUUCCCGUCGAUUGGUUGCUAAUGGCUUGCACUCAUGCCGUCCGCUAAGAAGACUGCCAUUUACCCCACCGAAUAGGCGCCAACGUUUGGAAUGGUGCCGGGCUAGAUCGACGUGGAUGACGGAAUGGCACAGGGUCGUGUUCUCAGAUGAGUCGCGUUUCUGCUUGUUCUGUGAUAGUCGCCGUGUACGCGUGUGGCGUCGACGUGGAGAAAGGUCCAAUCCAGCAGCAAUUGUGGAACGCCCCACCGUGCGACAACGUGGAAUCAUGGUUUGGGGCGCAAUCGCGUAUGAUUCCAGGUCACCUUUACUUCGUAUUCAGGGCACUAUGACGGCCCAACGAUACGUUGAUGAUGUGCUGCGACCGGUGACACUCCCCUACCUUCAGGGGGUACUCAAUGCCCUUUAUCAGCAGGAUAACGCCCGACCGCACACUGCUCGCAUUAGCCAACAAGCUCUGCAAGAUGUACAGAUGCUUCCCUGGCCACCGUACUCUCCCGAUCUCUCACCAAUCGAGCACGUCUGGGACAUCAUUGGACGCCGUUUGCAUGCCUUGCCACAGCCGCAUUCAGAAGACGAACUGUGGCAAAUGGUUGAGAGGGAAUGGAGAGCCAUCCCUCAGGACGCCAUCCGUACUCUGAUUGACUCUCUACCUAGACGUGUUGCUGCGUGCAUCGCCGUCCGCGGUGGUCCUACUUGCUACUAAGCCGACGCCGUUCUCGCUCUGUAUUAUGACUAUCAUUUUGAAAUAAUGAUCACUUAUUGUUCGUCCCUGUCUCUCUCUGUCUGCCGAGUUUCAUCACUUUCUGGCCACUAUUUCUUGGUGUUCCAUAUUCAAUGUCACGCAGUGUAUAAAAGUAAUAAUAAUGAAGAAUUAAAGUGAUUUUUGACAACAAAUAAAUCUUUUGUAAUACUAAAAUAAUAUUAUGAAAGAUAAAAGUAAAAGUGAUUUAUUUUUUAAAUGAUGUUGGAUUAAAACUUGUGAUUAUAUAAUUGAAAGGUUAAAAAAUAUAAUUAAAAAUAUUUUAUACAAAAAAUAGAAUAUAGUUAAAGAUUAUUACAAUGAGUAGAUGAAGGUUUAGUAUUUCUUCUAAAAGAAGUUACAAAUGUGGUGUGUAGGUUUUAUAAAUCGAAAAUUGAGAAGCGCAAUUUAUUGCUUGGAUUGGUUACUAAAAUGUUGUGUAUUGUGAUCUCAAUUUAACAUGUAAAAUGUUUGAUAUGUUGAAAAAAUUAGAGAUUUACACAGGAUUAAAAUAUCAAAAUGUUCAAUUUAAGGUAGGUCUUGUUCAAAUUCAAAUAUCUAAAUGUUUUAAAAAGUUAGGUUAAGAUAUCGACUGUUAAUGUAGUAAAAGGGGUUGUUGUUUAUGUUGUUUUGAUCAUUUGAUCACGCAGAAUGCAACUGAACUAAGUAUUUAUUUAUUUACAUAUAUUUUUAUAACAUGGUUAUAUAUCUAAGAAUGUUUACAAGUCGAGUCUGCAGUGUUGCCGGAUCAACAUGUCAGUUCAAUCAUAACAUGUUUCCUUUAAACAAAAAUAAAAAAAGGAUUGCAGUUCUCCUAGUCUCUAUAACGCAAAGGUUUUCUCACUGUUCUACCACUGCGGGUUCGCACACUAGGAGAAGUAGAUGAUUCUUCACCUUUCUUGGCAACGUCCUCCCUUGGAUCAUAUGCUCUUCUGUUUUCGGAAGUGGGUCUUCCAUGAUCUUGUAUGUUGUCAUCCAUGGCUGUCCCUGCUUGAGAUCCAGGAAUGCUUGGACUUUGAAUUGUUGGGGCAGAAUCUUCUACACUGAACUUUCUCGGUCUAAGGUGAGACCUGUUCCUGCGGUAUUCAGAUCCACUUGGUGUUUUCACCAUAUAUGAGCGUGGAGUUUCAUGCUUUGCGGUCACUGUUGCCGGAAGCCAUUUUCUAUGCCUUUCCUGCAACAUGAUGUCUCCUACUUCCAAAGGUCUCAAAAUUCUCUUUGGACUUCCUGCAUACUUUUGUUGAUGGUCUCUCAAUUUUUUGUAAUUCUUCGUUGUGUCAAACAGUGGUUUCAACUGUUGUCGGGUGUAUGUCGAAAGAGUUCUCACAGAUCUUCCCAUAAGCAUUUGGGUCGGAGAUGGCAAGUCAUACUUAGGUGUGUUGUUGAACUCCAUCAAAGCCAGAUUGGGAUCUCUUCCUGACUUCACAGCUUUAAUUAUCAGUCCUUUGAUGGUUUGAAUUGUCCUCUCAACUUGUCCAUUAGAUCUUGGAUAUUUGGGACUGGAGGUUUGGUGUUUGAAUUCAUAUAUCUGAGCAAAAUUUUUGAAUCCAGUAGAGUUAAAAGGGGGUCCAUUAUCCGAAACUAGAGUUCUUGGAAUUCCAUGAGUCCUGAAAAUGGUUUUCAACUGCAUGAUGGUUUCGGUUUCUCUUUUGCUUGAUAAUUUCCGGAUUUCAACAAACUUUAAGUGGUAAUCGACAACCAAGAUGGAACUGGUUCCACUCACCUCCAUGAAAUCUACAGCAAUUUUUUCCCAUGGAAAUUCAGGGAUUUCAUGAGCUAUUCUUGACUCCUCAGGAUUCUUUCUUGAAUAUUCCUGACAUGUUCUGCACUUUUCCACUUCAUUUUCUACUUGUGUUAUCAUGCCGGGCCAGUAAAAUGCUGAUCUUGCUUUUUCUUUGGAAGCUGCUGUGCCCUGGUGUGAUGAAUGAACAACCUGCAGGAUUUCUUUUCGAAGAGUCGAUGGCACCAUGAUGCAAUUUCCUUUGUAAACAAUUCCGUCACUCACAUGAAUUUCAUCUUGAAAUUGCCAGUAGGGUUUUGCUUCAUCACAGACCUUAGUUUUAUAUUUCGGCCAUCCAUUCUUCGCAUACUCCAUUAGUUGUAUCAAGGUGUGGUCCCCAUGAGUUUCCUUUUGUAGUCUCUUUAUUUUUUCAUCUGUGGUAACCAGCAACAUGUGCACUGAUUCAGUUUGACCUUCUAAAUAGCUUGUGUCCACCUCAUCUUUUAAUGGAUCUCUAGACAGAUGGUCAGCUACAAACAUGUUUUUCCCUGGUGUAAACUUCAAAGAUAUUUGAAAUCUCAUCAGACGUAAGACCAUUCUUUGCAGUCUUGGGGGAAAGCUUUUCUAAAGGUUUCUUAACAAUACUCAGGAGAGGUUUGUGGUCAGUUUCCACAAUAACAUCAUUUCCCCAAAUAUAGUACUGGAAGCGUUCACAUCCAAAGACUAUAGCCAAAAGUUCUUUCUCUAUCUGUGCGUAUUUUCUUUGAGUUGCAUUCAGGCUGAAGGACGCAUACUCAAUUGCUUGUCCCCCUUGCAUAAGCACUGUACCAAUACCAUAUUGGCUUGCAUCAGAUGAAAUGGUGAUUGGCUUGGUUGGGCCAAAAAAUGUCAAUAUUGGAGCAUUCGAAACCAUAUCCUUGAGUUUUUCAAAACAAUCAUUUUCUUCGCCUCCAAAAUUCCAUUCACUCUUGUUGCUUAUCAAUUUCCCUAGAGGUGCAGUCUUGUCAGAAAGAUUAGGAAUGAGUUUGCCAAGGUACGUUACCAUACCUAAGAAUCUUUGGACUUCAGUCUUGUUCUCAGGUCUUUUCAACUUUUGUAUUGCCUCUGCUCUUGAAGCUUGAAUGGCUAUUCCAUCUCGACUGAUUAUAUGGCCUAAGAAAUUUACUUUGUCGACAGCUAUCUGCUGCUUCUUGGCAUUGAGCUUGACAUUAUUUUCUUCCAACCUUCGAAGAACUGUUUCGAGGUUUCGGUUGUGCUCUUCCAUUGUGCUUCCAUAGAUCAAGAUGUCAUCCAUAUAGCAAGCAGUUCCCUGGAGACCUGAAAGAAUAUUGUUUAUGCAUCGCUGGAAUACCUCCGAUGCACUGUUCAAUCCAUAGGGAAGUCGCUUGAACCGGAAUCUUCCAAAGGGAGUCGCAAUGGUGCACAGGUUGGUGCUUUCUUUGUCUAAUGGGAUUUGCCAGAAAGCUGAUGAUGCAUCAAAUACAGAGAAAAUUGUAGCACCUUUCAGUUCAGAAAAUAUUGUUUCAGCUGUUGGCAGAAUAUAGCGCUCUCUCUGAAUAUACUUGUUCAGUUCCCUGGGGUCCAUGCAAAUUCUGACAUCCCCAGAAGGUUUUUGUACCACUACAAUAGGGUGUGUCCAUUCGCUUGGUUCUUCAACUUUUUCAAUAAUGUCAAGUUUUUCCAUCCGUUCCAAUUCUGCUUUAACUUUUUCUCUAAUAGAAAAAGGAAUUUUUCUGCUUGGAGCAAUAACUGGAGUUGUAUUUUCAUUUAGUCUAAUCUUGUGUUCAAUUGGCAGUCUUCCUAUGCCUUCAAAUAUAUUUUUGUGCCUGUUCAAAAUCUCUUUUGCUGAAUUGUUUUGCUGUAUUUGGACAGCAUCACAUUUCGUAAUUAGUGAAAGCUUUUCAAUAGCUUCUAUUCCAAAAAUUGGUUGAUAGUAUCCAUCAGCAAUGAAAAAUUCUAGACUUUCCGUCUUAUUUUUAGUUUUGCAAUUUAGUGUGGCAAUUCCUUUUAUCUUGAUUUCAUGUCCUGUAUAUGAUGUUAGCUUUCGGUUAGUCUGAAAUAUUUCCAAACCUUUCAUUUGUCUGGUGAAUGUGUAUGGCAAAACAUUUACUUCUGCUCCAGAGUCCAACUUGAAACAUAUUUCCUUUCCAUUCACUAUGAUGGAUUUUUUCCAUUCCAAAGUAUGGACUACUUUUGCUUCAUGUAUUGACCAUACAGUUUCUUCUGUUUCAUCAUUCAGACUUCUGAUAGCUGAACUUUUACAGAAAGCUGCAAAAUGAUCCAUCUUUUUGCAUUUGGAGCAUAUUUUACCCCAUGCAGGACAAUUUUUCGCUCUGUGAGACUUCCCACACCUUUGGCAUUUGAAUUCUUUUUCAGAUUCUUGAUUUUGUUUUGGACUGUGUUUUUUUUUCAUAUUUUCUUAUUUGACAGAUGUUCUGGUUGUUCUGCAUGAUCUUGAUCUGUUGUUUGCUUAUUUCAUCUGUUUUGCACAUUUCAAUGGCUUUUAGAAGAGUUAAAUUGGGCUCUCUUAAGAGGCGUUCCUGCAAAGCCUUGUCUUGUAUUCCAGACACAAUGCGAUCCCUUAUUAAACUAUCCUUUUGUGAUUCAAAUUCACAUGAUGUGGAUAAUCCUUUUAGUUCUGUUAUAAAACUAUCGAUGGAUUCACCAUCCUUCUGGGUCGCUUAAAAAAUUGGAAUCUUUCAAAAAUGACGUUCUUUUUAGGUUUAUUACAAGAUCGAAAUUUUCUGCUUCAUCUUCUUUUAAAUGAAAUGUGUUGAAAACUUCCAAGGCUUCUUCGCCAAUAAAAUUAAAAAAAUGGCAACUUUCAGUUUAUCAGGCUUUGUGGCUUUUUCUGUUGCUUUAAGAUAAAGCAUUAAUCGCUGUUUGAACCUUCGCCAAUUUUCCGCUACAUUUCCAUGCAAGGCGAGUUCGCUAGGCCUAACAAAGUCCAUGUUUUCUUUUUUUCACUAAUAUUUUUCAAUUAUAUAUUUAUUUGAAAAAGUACUCACUUUUCCGCUGCCACCAUGUUGUUUAUGUUGUUUUGAUCAUUUGAUCACGCAGAAUGCAACUGAACUAAGUAUUUAUUUAUUUACAUAUAUUUUUAUAACAUGGUUAUAUAUCUAAGAAUGUUUACAAGUCGAGUCUGCAGUGUUGCCGGAUCAACAUGUCAGUUCAAUCAUAACAGGUGUGAUAUAAAAGGAAUGUAGAACACAGCCCUCAUUUACUGGAGGACGAGAUAGGUGAAGGGUGGCGGUGGAUUUAUUGACGCGGGAAUAGCCUCGAGAUCUUUAGUCUAUCGUCAUUGGGGCCUCUGGUAUGUUAACUAGCGGUGUCCAUUUUUACGAUGGGGUGCGAUGUGUAUUGUUUUUGAAGGGGGAGAUAUGGGGUUGUCUACAGCGCACGAGAGUUAAAUUCUUUCUCCUCUAGUUUGGAUCUGGUGGGUUCAAAGAAAUCUUUAUAUUGUGUGAAAGAGAAUAAGUAAGAAAGUAAUACAGAUCCAAUUGGGUUGGUAGAGUAUGUAGAUAGAAUAGGUUUGUGAAUUUAACGGGAAAUUUUCUGGUCGCUAUUUGAGGUUUGUUUUAAAACGAUCGAUAUUAAAUAAAUAUUGAUUUAAAUGUAGGAAUGGCUGGGAAGUUUGAGGCGGUAUAAUUCCGAAUAGUUGCGUCUCGAAGAUAUCUGGAGUCAAAUGUUUAAAUUUACUGAGAUAUACAUCUUGAGACAUUCGCUGUGGGUUUUGAAUAAAUCGGUUUUGUGGAGGUGUAAUGUACAGAACAUUCUCUGUGUAAAUUUUAAAUUAUUGACAUGUAUGGUGUCACUGUCUCUAUUGAGAGGUUAAUUGGGGCGAUCUAUUCGAACGACAUUGGGUGAGAUUAUUUCAAUUAUUGUAUAUGGUCCAGUAAAAUAUGGUGCUAAUUUACCUGUGUCGGGAUGUCUAUAAUUUUUGACCAAAACAAGAUCAUUCACUUCGAAAGCGGUGUUCUGUGCUGCUUAUCAAAUGUUUCUUUAUCUUUUUUAUGCUUAUUUUGGGUACGAGAACGUGCUAUCUCUCUAGCUCUAGUUAUUUCGGGGUAUGGGUUAAGAUGAGUUUUUAGAUCUGGGGGGACAACAUUGAACAUUAAGUAGGUGGAUGGAAAACUUGUGACAGAAUGGGGUGUGCUAUUAUAAGUCUGAGUGACGCGUUUAACUAGUUGAGUCCAGGAAGCUUUCGGAUUUUCUAGAUAAGCUAGUCUGAGUUUGCCUGUAAUGGUGGCAUUUAAGCGUUCUAUUAAACCGUUUGCUUGUGGGUUAUUGCUUGUGGUGAGUAGAGGUUGUAUUUCAUGUGUUAUUAGAAAUUUAUGGAAUUUGUCUGAGGUAAAAGCGGGCGCUCUGUCAGAUAACA